This 30-nucleotide non-coding RNA is filed under the name Rattus norvegicus (Norway rat). The record is from RNAcentral. Lineage: Eukaryota; Metazoa; Chordata; Mammalia; Rodentia; Muridae.
UACACGUGGCCCAUUCAAUUCUCCUUUGAU